This 106-nucleotide small nuclear RNA is filed under the name Cuculus canorus (common cuckoo). The record is from RNAcentral. Lineage: Eukaryota; Metazoa; Chordata; Aves; Cuculiformes; Cuculidae.
GUGCUCACUUCAGCAGCACAUAUACUAAAGUUGGAAUGAUGCAGAGAAGAUUAGCAUGGCCCUGUGCAAGGAUGGCACGCAAAUUCGUGAAGCAUUCCAUAUUUUU